AAAUAAAUAAAUAAAUACAAGUUCACCUUAAAUCCCAAGUUUUAUUUCAUCUUAAAUCAAAAACAAGAACACGCCUUCCACUCCCAAACCCUUCUUAUUCCUUCUCCUUCCAUUAAUUCUUUCAAACCCAGACUCGAACAAGAAGCGACCAACAACCUUCAUUCCAUUUUCUUCCUCACUCAUUCUCAAGACUUACGAAAAGCCUUAAACAAUACAACCUCUCGUUUUGCUUCUCAAAACAGGCGGUAAUAAAGAUUUUGGUUGGGUUUCGGAAGUUGCAAGUCCAUUGUCUCUGAAAUCUGCACAACCGAACAAGGAAACCAAAACCAAUUUCGUGAUGCCGAUUUUUGCACUGAAACCAAAACAGUCAAUCCUCUUGUUGCCCCUGAAUUUCUGCCGAAAAUGAGGGAAGCCAAAAUCAAUUUGGCUUAUGUUUUAUUGUGCAACAAAAUCCUUAUUUGGUUGCUUCUGAUUCCUGCCGCAAGCUAAGGAUACGACUACGUCGAUGAACCCUUCUAGUCAAUUGCGGUGAAUCGGUCUUGACUCCCUGAAUCGUCUUUUCGAUAUUGAUAUGUUCAAUGGAUCGGGUUUACGAGCUGGUCAUUGACGGAAUGGUGGGACAUUGACUCCUAUUCCCCUAUUUUGAGUUGUUUGCAGAUCGGAACUGGUCGGGAACGAUGGGUUAGCGGUAAUGAUUAGAGUUACAGAGAUGUUAUAUUGAGUUGAGUACGUGAGAAGUCUAGUAUUGUAUUAGGUUUUUGAUAGAUGUAUAUUAGACUUGAUUGUGUUGAUUAUAUUGGACUUAUGGAGUGACUUUUUUAUUACUUUGUAUUUUAGUUAGAUGUUCGGUUUGAAAAUUAGUUGAGUUAGUUACGUUAAAGAACUGGUGACUCAUUUGCUCAAGUUUUAAAAUUGUCAUUUAAGUUUCUUAGAAAACAGAUCUCGUGAUGACCCUGUUUACCUAAUCAACGGUAUGUCGGGUUGUUACAAUUUCUAAUAAAACAUCUACCUAUUCUCGCUAAGAUGAUUCAAAUUUCAAGCAUGAAUUAUCAUUAGAAAUCAACUCUCGCCCUCAAUCCAAUGACAAUAUGAAUCAUCUCAAACCAUAAACCACAUCAAACCAAAAGUGUGAUACCUCAGAUUUAGCUUUAAUAAGGAUUGAUAGACUAUUUAUAUCAAUAAGAUGCAUUUUCUUU
Molecule: long non-coding RNA, 1196 nt
Organism: Amaranthus tricolor (Joseph's coat)
Lineage: Eukaryota; Viridiplantae; Streptophyta; Magnoliopsida; Caryophyllales; Amaranthaceae
Exons: 4
Source: RefSeq, a predicted model, not a curated record